CCUACGGGUGGCAGCAGUGGGGAAUAUUGGACAAUGGGCGAAAGCCUGAUCCAGCCAUGCCGCGUGUGUGAAGAAGGCCUUCGGGUUGUAAAGCACUUUCAGUGGGGAAGAAAGCCUUGGGGCUAAUACCCUCGAGGAAGGACAUCACCCACAGAAGAAGCACCGGCUAACUCCGUGCCAGCAGCCGCGGUAAUACGGAGGGUGCGAGCGUUAAUCGGAAUUACUGGGCGUAAAGCGCGCGUAGGCGGUCUGAUAAGCCGGUUGUGAAAGCCCCGGGCUCAACCUGGGAACGGCAUCCGGAACUGUCAGGCUAGAGUGCAGGAGAGGAAGGUAGAAUUCCCGGUGUUGCGGUGAAAUGCGUAGAGAUCGGGAGGAAUACCAGUGGCGAAGGCGGCCUUCUGGACUGACACUGACGCUGAGGUGCGAAAGCGUGGGUAGCAAACAGGAUUAGAUACCCCGGUAGUC
This 465-nucleotide ribosomal RNA is filed under the name Vreelandella stevensii. RNAcentral's name for it is "partial 16S ribosomal RNA". It matches the Rfam family "Bacterial small subunit ribosomal RNA", at positions 338 to 795 of the family's 1533-position model. The record is from RNAcentral. Lineage: Bacteria; Pseudomonadati; Pseudomonadota; Gammaproteobacteria; Oceanospirillales; Halomonadaceae.